Molecule: non-coding RNA, 69 nt
Organism: Actinokineospora bangkokensis
Lineage: Bacteria; Bacillati; Actinomycetota; Actinomycetes; Pseudonocardiales; Pseudonocardiaceae
Rfam family: ASpks TB sRNA
Source: Rfam
CUUCACCGACCCCAACCACAGCGGCUCAGCCCGGUUCUGCCCGUAUGUGGCCAGCAACGCCUGCGCCUC